AAAUAAGAAACAUUUAAAUGUAUUCAGUUUCGACCUGAAAAAAGAUUAUUUUAUCCUUAUUUA
RNAcentral lists this transfer RNA (63 nucleotides) under Natula pravdini. RNAcentral describes it as "tRNA-Arg". Lineage: Eukaryota; Metazoa; Arthropoda; Insecta; Orthoptera; Trigonidiidae. The record is from RNAcentral.